CUACGGAAGGUCCGGGCGUUAUCCGGAUUUAUUGGGUUUAAAGGGAGCGCAGGCGGAGAUGCAAGCGUGACGUCAAAUUUCGGGGCUCAACCCCGUCUCGCGUCGCGAACUGCGUCCCUUGGUUGCGGGAAGGGGAGGCGGAACUCGUGGUGUAGCGGUGAAACGCAUAGAUAUCACGAAGAACUCCGAUCGCGAAGGCAGCCUUCCGGCCCGUCAACGACGCUCAUGCUCGAAGGUGCGGGUAUCAAACAGGAUUAGAUACCCUGGUAGUCCGCACAGUGAACGAUGGACACCCGCGGUUUGGCCUGUAUGGCUGAGCCGCCAAGCGAAAGCGUUAAGUGUCCCACCUGGGGAGUACGCCGGCAACGGUGAAACUCAAAUGAAUUGACGGGG
Molecule: ribosomal RNA, 393 nt
Filed under: uncultured bacterium
Lineage: Bacteria
Description: partial 16S ribosomal RNA
Rfam family: Bacterial small subunit ribosomal RNA
Source: RNAcentral